UACGUAGGGGGCUAGCGUUGUCCGGAAUCAUUGGGCGUAAAGCGCGUGUAGGCGGUCCGGUAAGUCCGCUGUGAAAGUCGGGGGCUCAACCCUCGGAUGCCGGUGGAUACUGUCGGGCUUGAGUACGGAAGAGGCGAGUGGAAUUCCCGGUGUAGCGGUGAAAUGCGCAGAUAUCGGGAGGAACACCAAUGGCGAAGGCAGCUCGCUGGGACGUGACUGACGCUGAGACGCGAAAGCGUGGGUAGCAAACAGG
Molecule: ribosomal RNA, 253 nt
Filed under: uncultured bacterium
Lineage: Bacteria
Description: partial 16S ribosomal RNA
Rfam family: Bacterial small subunit ribosomal RNA
Source: RNAcentral